AUCCUCCAAGGCUAAAUACUCCUGACUGACCGAUAGUGAACCAGUACCGUGAGGGAAAGGCGAAAAGAACCCCGGCGAGGGGAGUGAAAAAGAACCUGAAACCGUGUACGUACAAGCAGUGGGAGCCUCUUUAUGGGGUGACUGCGUACCUUUUGUAUAAUGGGUCAGCGACUUAUAUUCUGUAGCAAGGUUAACCGUAUAGGGGAGCCGAAGGGAAACCGAGUCUUAACUGGGCGUUAAGUUGCAGGGUAUAGACCCGAAACCCGGUGAUCUAGCCAUGGGCAGGUUGAAGGUUGGGUAACACUAACUGGAGGACCGAACCGACUAAUGUUGAAAAAUUAGCGGAUGACCUGUGGCUGGGGGUGAAAGGCCAAUCAAACCGGGAGAUAGCUGGUUCUCCCCGAAAGCUAUUUAGGUAGCGCCUCGUGAACUCAUCUUCGGGGGUAGAGCACUGUUUCGGCUAGGGGGCCAUCCCGGCUUACCAACCCGAUGCAAACUACGAAUACCGAAGAAUGUUAUCACGGGAGACACACGGCGGGUGCUAACGUCCGUCGUGAAGAGGGAAACAACCCAGACCGCCAGCUAAGGUCCCAAAGUCAUGGUUAAGUGGGAAACGAUGUGGGAAGGCACAGACAGCCAGGAUGUUGGCUUAGAAGCAGCCAUCAUUUAAAGAAAGCGUAAUAGCUCACUGGUCGAGUCGGCCUGCGCGGAAGAUGUAACGGGGCUAAACCAUG
Molecule: ribosomal RNA, 734 nt
Filed under: Enterobacter hormaechei subsp. steigerwaltii
Lineage: Bacteria; Pseudomonadati; Pseudomonadota; Gammaproteobacteria; Enterobacterales; Enterobacteriaceae
Description: partial 23S ribosomal RNA
Rfam family: Bacterial large subunit ribosomal RNA
Source: RNAcentral